AGCCCAAACCGAAGGUAUUCCUUCGGGGUUGUAGGACCACGUCAUAUUCGACCAUACUGGAUAGUAGAACAGCCUGGAAAGGCUGGCCGGAGAAGGUGAAAGCCCUGUAGACGAAAUCCAGAGUGGGAAUUAGUGGUAUCCUGAGUAAUACAUCACACGUGGAACGAUGUAUGAACCCGCGCGGACCACCGCGCAAGGCUAAAUACUAGUUGGCGACCGAUAGUGAACAAGUACCGCGAGGGAAAGGUGAAAAGAACCGCUGUGAGCGGAGUGAAAUAGAACCUGAAACCGUAUGUCUACAAAGUGUCAGAGCAGAGCAAUCUGCGAUGGCGUGCCUUUUGUUUAAUGAGUCUGCGAGUCAGUGUUUGUGGCAAGACUAAGGGCUUCCGGCCCGGAGUCGCAGCGAAAGCAAGUCCGAACAGGGCGCAAUAAGUCGCAGGUACUGGACCCGAAGCGGAGGUGACCUACCCUUGGCCAGGUUGAAGCAUGGGUAAAACCAUGUGGAGGACCGAACAGGUGAACGUUGAAAAGUUCUCUGAUGAGCUGAGGGUAGGAGUGAAAGGCUAAUCAAACCCCGUGAUAGCUGGUUCUCUUCGAAAUGCAUUUAGGUGCAGCGUCACGUGCUGAUGCGCGGGGGUAGAGCACUGACAAGGCUAGGGGGCACACCCGCUUACCAAACCUUAUCAAACUCCGAAUACCGUGCAAUGGAACGUGGCAGUGAGACAGUGGGGGAUAAGCUUCAUUGUCGAGAGGGAAACAACCCAGACCAGCAGCUAAGGUGCCUAAAUAACGCUCAGUGGAAAGGAUGUGGGAUUACACAGACAGUGAGGAUGUUGGCUUAGAAGCAGCCACCAUUUAAAAAAUGCGUAAUAGCUUACUCAUCGAGUGAUCCUGCGCCGAAAAUGAUUGGCGAUCAAGCGUUAUACCGAAGCUCUGGACUUUGCCGCAAGGCAGAGUGGUAGAAGAGCGUUGCAUGCGCGUCGAAGGGCGAUGGCGACUGACCCUGGAGCACAUGCAAGUGAGUAUGCAGACAUGAGUAACGUUAAGCCGGGUGAAAUCCCCGGCCGCCGUAAACCCGAGGUUUCCAGGGCAACGUGUUUCGUCCCUGGGUUAGCCGGGACCUAAGCCGAGGCCGAGAGGCGUAGGCGAUGGACAUCAGGUUAAUAAUCCUGAGCUCGCAACCCUUAAACUGGGGGGACGCAUGAGAAAAGAUGACUAGGUUAUUGAAUUCCGAGUUGAGUCCACGGACUCAGCGCAUCAUUGGAUCGAGUGCCAAGAAAAGCCCCAGCGUAUGCUAAGCGACCCGUACCGCAAACCGACACAGGUGGGUGGGUAGAAUAUACCAAGGCGUAAGAGUGAAACCUGGUUAAGGAACUCGGCAAAUUAGCCCCGUAACUUCGGAAGAAGGGGUGCCUGCAGCGAUGCAGGCCGCAGAGAAAUGGCCCAACCGACUGUUUAUCAAAAACACAGCACUCUGCAAAGACGCAAGUCGAAGUAUAGGGUGUGACACGUGACCAAUGCCGAAAGAUUAAGGCAAGGGGUUAGCCGCAAGGCGAAGCUCUAAACCCAAGUCCCGGUGAAUGUCGGCCGUAACUAUAACGGUCCUAAGGUAGCGAAAUUCCUUGUCGGGUAAGUUCCGACCUGCACGAAUCGUGAAACGAGUUGGGCACUGUCUCAACCAGGCGCUCAGUGAAAUUGUAGUGGCGGUGAAGAUGCCGCCUACCCGCAGAAGGACGGAAAGACCCUAUAGACCUUAACUGUAAGCUGUCAUUGUUUCUUCGGUUUUAAUGCUCAGAGUAAGUGGGAGACGCUGAAGACGCCCUUUAGGGGGCGUCCGAGUCAUCAAUGAGACACCACCCUUUGAAACUGGAGGAUCUAACCCUGAGCCGUGAAUCCGGCCAGAGGACCGUGUCAGCCGGUCAGUUUUACUGGGGCGGUAUCCUCCCAAAGAGUAACGGAGGAGCGCGAAGGUGGGCUCAGCCCGGUUGGCAACCGGGUGUCGAGUGCAUGGGCAUAAGCCCGCCUAACUGUGAGACCAACAAGUCGAGCAGAUGCGAAAGCAGGCCCAAGUGAUCCGGCGGUAGAAAGUGGAAUUGCCGUCGCUCAACGGAUAAAAGGUACCUUAGGGAUAACAGGCUGAUCACGCCCAAGAGUUCAUAUCGACGGCGU
This 2169-nucleotide ribosomal RNA is filed under the name human gut metagenome. Its description in RNAcentral is "bacterial LSU rRNA". It matches the Rfam family "Bacterial large subunit ribosomal RNA", at positions 266 to 2514 of the family's 2925-position model. The record is from RNAcentral.